AAUCUAUGAUGAUUCCCUUAGUAACGGCGAGUGAACAGGGAGAAGCCCAAAUUUGUAAUCUGGCACUUUUUACAAGUGUCCGAGUUGUAAUUUGUAGAACUGUUAUCCGUCCUGGACCAUGUACAAGUCUGUUGAAAAGCAGCAUCAUUGAAGGUGAAAAUCCUGUAGAUGAUAUGGACUACCAGUACUUUUGUGAUACGGUUUCUAAGAGUCGAGUUGUUUGGGAAUGCAGCUCAAAGUGGGUGGUAAAUUCCAUCUAAGGCUAAAUAUAAGUGAGAGACCGAUAGCAAACAAGUACCGUGAGGGAAAGAUGAAAAGAACUUUGAAAAUAGAGUUAACAGUACGUGAAAUUGCUGAAAGGUAAACGUUUGAAGUUAGUUUUGUAUUCGUUAGAUCAGCUUCGCAAGGAGUGUAUUCUGAUGAUAAGCAAGUCAACAUCAGUCUAUGAGUGUCGGAGAAGGGUUUUGAGAAUGUAGCAAUUUAAUUGUGUUAUAGCUUGAGACUUGGAUACGAUGCUUUGGAUUGAGGAACGCGUAGUAAGC
RNAcentral lists this ribosomal RNA (542 nucleotides) under Melampsora allii-populina. Its description in RNAcentral is "eukaryotic LSU rRNA". It matches the Rfam family "Eukaryotic large subunit ribosomal RNA", at positions 63 to 606 of the family's 3401-position model. Lineage: Eukaryota; Fungi; Basidiomycota; Pucciniomycetes; Pucciniales; Melampsoraceae. The record is from RNAcentral.